AAGUCGUAACAAGGUUUCCGUAGGUGAACCUGCGGAAGGAUCAUUAUCGUAUCUCUGGCGGACCAGCGCGUCUCCCUGCUCCGGCCCACAAAGCCGUGCAGCGGGAGGCCGCCGGCCCGUCCAACCCUUUCAAACCCCACCGUGCACAUUUGCGGCGGAGGGUCGGCUCGCACUCGCUGCGGGUCGUCCCGAAGCCGCCUCACAAACCCCAAACGAACGAAAUUCUGCGGCCAAUGCGUCGCCUAACAAACGAAACAACUUUCAACAACGGAUCUCUUGGCUCUC
This 285-nucleotide unclassified non-coding RNA is filed under the name air metagenome. RNAcentral's name for it is "partial contains small subunit ribosomal RNA, internal transcribed spacer 1, and 5.8S ribosomal RNA". The stretch from base 1 to 46 matches the Rfam family "Eukaryotic small subunit ribosomal RNA", at positions 1786 to 1831 of the family's 1831-position model. The record is from RNAcentral.